ACUAGUUUUGGUUUUUAAGUAUAAAAUCUCCAGGUUGCAUGUAAGUUCUCAGCAAAAACAUUUGCUAUGUGUGUACAAACUAGAAAGUACUCCCUUUGUUAGGCUAGUACAUCAUUCAAAUGCCAGAUCAAAAUAAUUAGAAAUACUCAUUCAGUAGGGAUAAUUGAGUUCUUUUUAAAAGAUACACCAUGUACUAGUCCCACACCUAAAAUUCUAGGAGUUGAGAGUCUUGAGGUGAGAAGAUUCAAGUACAACCUGAGAAACGGAAACUUGUCUCAAGAUCAAAUUCUUGGCUGGGUAGCUGGCAUUGUGAAUAUAAGUACUACGGUUAAACCCUAGCAGCCAGGCAGGUAUGAUGGCUAAACCUAGAAGCUGAUUUUAGUGAGAAACCUCAGGGAAGUCCUCAGGGAAGGUGGUCAGUAUCAGUGUGUGUAUGUACAUCUACCCAAAGAACAUAAAUCCUUUGAUCUGAGCUAUUUUCCCAUUUGGGAUUUUAGCUGAAAGUACCCAGUAGGGGGCUGAGUGUGCUUAGGACUUUGCACUGCAUGGUAUCUGCACUCAGCAGUUCUUUCCUGUUGGGUGUUCAAAAGACAGUGCAAUAGAAACUCACUAUCUGGCAUCGUUGGUUUCUUGGCUUUGUGCAUGUUAAACCUGGUAUUUCUAAUGAUACAGUUUUUCAUAUGUACAUAAUUUUUGUAUGUAGGUGUGUCCGGGAGGGCAGAGCAACUUGUAAGUUUGAUCUCAAUGUGGGGUCUUAAAUUACCUGGUCUUAAAGCUUGGUUGUCUGAUAAAUGACCCAUUCCUCUUCUUCCUAGGGUGACACAAGCGAACCCUACCUUAAUGGUUUAAAGAUAAUUUAAGAAGGCGCCCUAAAGUAGAUUGAAGAAACCCCCAAAUCUGGUGACCUGGAUGGACAGCAAAUCCCUCAAUUUAUUUGACUUAAUCAGUAAAAGAGAACCUUUAGUAUGAAGUCAGCAUGUCUAGAGUUUCUAGUGCUUUAUUUUUUAAUUUGUACUUUGUUGAACUGCUCAUCCUUUUUCUUGCUUUGUUUUCUCUUCUCUUUGCUGUUUCACCCCAGUUAACUGCCUGUGUAACCUGUAAGAGAAAUUUGUGGAAUUAGGCUGGUAGCAAAAUAAUAAAAGCAAGUGAAUGAAAAGAUACCUUAGUGCUUGGGCAGAUUCUUCCUGAAGAGAGAAUGGUAAGUCAUCUCAUUAGAUUCUGAGAGCAAUUUGACAAAAAUUCAACACUGUUGAAUUCGGAAAACUCAAGGCUUUAACCUAGUUCAGCCAUCUUGAGGCACUCACUAAAAAGGCUGCCAUUUUCUUGUUUCCCUGUACAAAAGGAUAAAAAAGACUUCCACAUACUAUCAGAGACUGAAAAGGCUUCA
This is a long non-coding RNA of Mus pahari (shrew mouse), 1387 nucleotides long. RefSeq lists it as uncharacterized. The record is from RefSeq and is a predicted model, not a curated record. The transcript is spliced from 3 exons. Lineage: Eukaryota; Metazoa; Chordata; Mammalia; Rodentia; Muridae.